Molecule: long non-coding RNA, 1972 nt
Organism: Vulpes vulpes (red fox)
Lineage: Eukaryota; Metazoa; Chordata; Mammalia; Carnivora; Canidae
Source: Ensembl
GCCCUGCUGCCCUGUAGUCCUGCUGGGGUGCCAUACCUGUUGCCCUGACGCCCUGCAAGAUCUGCAGCCCUGCCUCCCUGCUGCCCUGUAGCAUUGCUGCCCUGCUGCCCUGCUGCUCUUCUGCCCUGCAACCCUGCCUACCUACUGCCUUGCAUCCCUGCCGCACUGUGAGGCUUGUAGCAUUGCCGCCCUACACCCUGAACCCUGCAGCCCUGGGAGGCCUGUAGCCCUGCAGCCCUGCUGCUCUUCAGCCCUUCUGCCCUGCUGUCCUGCAUCCCUGAUGCCCUGUUGCCAUGCAGCCCUCCGAGGCCUGCCACCCUUCCACCCUGCUGCCCUACCUCCCUGCAGCCCUGCCGCCCUGGUAGGCCUACAGCCAUGCCGCCCUGCUGCCUGGCCACUCAGUGACCCUGAGAGGCCUGCAGCCCUGCCGCAAUGCUUCCCUGCUGCCUUGCCACCCUGCUACCCUGCAGCCCUUCCAGCAUGCUUCUCUGCAGCCCUACUGCCCUGCUGCCCUGCAGCCCUGCUGCCCUGCAAGGCCUGCAGCCCGGUCACCAGUGUCACCCACCCGGCCUUUAAGGUUUCUGAGCAGACACUGGACCCUGACCUGACUGGACGCUGCCUCCUCCGGCUCCCUCUCACUUACAGAUCUGUCAAUCCUGGUGAACACUUAAGUUUUAUUUUAUGAAUGAUUACUCAGAGCCUCUGUACCUUCAGGUUAACAACACCAUCGGUUGCAAAAAUAUAAGGUAAUUCUUCCAUAUUACUUUUCCUAGUUAAGAUUAAUGAAUACAUCAAUCACCUUUAGCUGUGAUUCCUUCCUUCCUUCCUUCCUUCCUUUCUUUCUUUCUUUCUUUCUUUCUUUCUCUUUCUUUCUUUCUUUCUUUCUUUCUUUCUUUCUUCUUUUUUCUUUCUGUGGGAGAGGGUGGGGAUGGGCAGAAGGAGGGGGAAAGAGAGAGAACCUCAAGCAGACUCCAUGCCCAGCACAGAGCUCCACAUGGGACUCAAUCUCAUGAACCUGAGAUUAUAACCUGAGCCAAAAUCAAGAGUCCAAAGCUUAACUGACUAAGCCACCCAGGUGCCCCUGGCUGUGACAUUUUUAAAUGAAGAUAGUUAAAUAUGAUGAGAUGGGGGUUUGGGGGUCACUGCUGUUCAUCAUGAUUCAUUUUUGCAAAUACUCCAGUGUUUCCAUUGGUCAGAUGCCAAUAAUAUGGUGUGGAGACUCAGGAACAGAGUGUGGGGUCUGUCUAUGAGCUUCAAGGAUCCUCAGCUUCCCUAGAGAAAACUGCCUGUUAAACUGAGAAUGGCUAGCAUUUGAACUUGAAAGCUCACAUAAGUGUUCUCUCAACCAUCAACCAUAAGCACAUCCAUUUUCAGCAGCUUCUCUUAUCCUCUGAAGGAAUUUCUGUCUUUCCCCUGUUCCUGCUCUUGAUUGCCAGCACCUGCUUUCCAUUAAUUUCCAAGCAGUGGCACAUAAGUCUAUAGGAAAAUGACAGUUAAGCUUUCUUAAUGAGAGAAUUGUUGACCAACACUUGCACACUGACUCACCUCAUAAUUUUUUGCUUCAAAUUGUUUUUAUUCUGACUUUCAAGGCACUUAAGAGUUAGUUCCUGUGCUGAUAUACACAAAUUUAGCAUCUUAACAUAACUGCAGUUAUAAAUAAUAUUUUCCAACAAUAUUUCAUGUUGUAUACCAAUUAUACAUGUCUGAAAUUGCUGUUGGUCACUCUUUUCAUAUUGUGAUAGGAAAGGUUUAUCUAACUGUUUUAUAUUGCUUUUCUACUUCUAUUACUCUUUGAACUGAUCAUUCUUUGUUAGUCUGUUUCACCAUAGCUGUAUUAUUACUCCUUAAAAUACAUAUGAUGUAUCUCUGCAAGGGCCUCACAUUAGGUAAUUAUUGCUUGAUAUUUUUGAUUUUCCUAAAUCACAUGGCCCUGCUCAAAUUUUCUUUUAAAUAAAUUGAAGAAAAAUGGUCA